AUGCUUCCAGGAGUUGAAUGUGCUAGAAAGAGACGGUUGCAUCAAAGCAGAGUAAGAGAAGGAGGACGUGGUGAUCCCACGACAACACGUUCAUUCUGUUUAUAUACCAGAAACGUUCAAUCUACUCCUUCUCCUUCAAUACUCUCUUUACUGGAAAGAAGCAUGUUAAAGCAGAAACAGUCAUUGAUUGAUGAGAAACUGGGAGGAUCAACAAGAGAAGCCAAACGGAGACUAGAUGAGAAGCUUACAGCAGGUAUGAAGUCGGAAGAAAAUCAACAGCAGAAAAGAAAAAGUAUUUUUCAUGGUUUAUUGCGGCAAUUCAAAUCUUAA
Molecule: non-coding RNA, 330 nt
Organism: Vicia faba (fava bean)
Lineage: Eukaryota; Viridiplantae; Streptophyta; Magnoliopsida; Fabales; Fabaceae
Source: the annotation of a GenBank genome assembly